GACGAACGCUGGCGGCGUGCUUAACACAUGCAAGUCGAACGAAGCUUGAUUACGGUUUCUUCGUUUGAAGUAUGAUAUGACGGAGUGGAGGACGGGUGAGUCACGCCUGAGUAACCUGCCAUUCUGAGGGGGAUAGCGUUUGGAAACGAACGGUAAUACCGCAUAAUGGAUUUUGACGGAAUGAUCGAAAUACCAAAGAUUUAUCGCUGAAGGAUGGACUCGUGUCUGAGUAGGUAGUUGGAGGGGUAACGGACUACCAAGCGGACGAUCAGUAGCCGGAGUGAGAGGAGACGCGCCCACAUUGUGACGGAGGCACGACCCGGACUCCUACGGCAGGCAGCGGUAGCGUAUAGGACACAAUGGGCGCAAGCCUGAUGCAGCAACGCCGCGUGAAGGAAGACUGUUUGCGGAGAAUAAACUUCUGUGCUUAGUGAAGAAUAAUGACGGUAGCUAAGGAGAAAGCCACGGCUAACUACGUG
This 479-nucleotide ribosomal RNA is filed under the name uncultured bacterium. RNAcentral describes it as "partial 16S ribosomal RNA". It matches the Rfam family "Bacterial small subunit ribosomal RNA", at positions 28 to 507 of the family's 1533-position model. The record is from RNAcentral.